Molecule: ribosomal RNA, 251 nt
Filed under: uncultured bacterium
Lineage: Bacteria
Description: partial small subunit ribosomal RNA
Rfam family: Bacterial small subunit ribosomal RNA
Source: RNAcentral
AGGAUGAACGCUAGCGGCAGGCUUAACACAUGCAAGUCGAGGGGUAUAAGUCUUCGGAUUUAGAGACCGGCGCACGGGUGCGUAACGCGUAUGCAAUCUACCUUUUACAGAGGGAUAGCCCAGAGAAAUUUGGAUUAAUACCUCAUAGUAUAAUUGAAUCGCAUGGUUUAAUUAUUAAAGUUACAACGGUAAAAGAUGAGCAUGCGUCCCAUUAGUUAGUUGGUAAGGUAACGGCUUACCAAGACGAUGAU